AGCGGCGGAUGGGUGAGUAACACGUGGGGAACCUGCCCCUAAGUCUGGGAUACCAUUUGGAAACAGGUGCUAAUACCGGAUAAUAAAGCAGAUCGCAUGAUCAGCUUUUGAAAGGCGGCGUAAGCUGUCGCUAAGGGAUGGCCCCGCGGUGCAUUAGCUAGUUGGUAAGGUAACGGCUUACCAAGGCGACGAUGCAUAGCCGAGUUGAGAGACUGAUCGGCCACAUUGGGACUGAGACACGGCCCAAACUCC
Molecule: ribosomal RNA, 252 nt
Filed under: uncultured Lactobacillus sp.
Lineage: Bacteria; Bacillati; Bacillota; Bacilli; Lactobacillales; Lactobacillaceae
Description: partial 16S ribosomal RNA
Rfam family: Bacterial small subunit ribosomal RNA
Source: RNAcentral